UCCGGUUUGUCACCGGCAGUCUCCUUAGAGUCCCCGACCGAAUCGAUGGUAACUAAGGACAAGGGUUGCGCUCGUUACGGGACUUAACCCAACAUUUCACAACACGAGCUGACGACAGCCAUGCAGCACCUGUCUCUGCGCUCCCGAAGGCACCCGGAUAUUUCUACCCAGUUCGCAGGAUGUCAAGGAGUGGUAAGGUUCUUCGCGUUGCAUCGAAUUAAACCACAUGCUCCACCGCUUGUGCGGGCCCCCGUCAAUUCAUUUGAGUUUUAACCUUGCGGCCGUACUCCCCAGGCGGUCGACUUAAUGCGUUAGCUGCGCCACUAAAACCUCUAAGGAUUCCAACGGCUAGUCGACAUCGUUUACAGCGUGGACUAC
This 378-nucleotide unclassified non-coding RNA is filed under the name uncultured Gammaproteobacteria bacterium. RNAcentral's name for it is "contains 16S-23S intergenic spacer region". Lineage: Bacteria; Pseudomonadati; Pseudomonadota; Gammaproteobacteria. The record is from RNAcentral.